AAUAUAAUACUUUAAAGUUGCAAACUUUAGAAAUCUAAAAAGAGUUAUAUUA
RNAcentral lists this transfer RNA (52 nucleotides) under Chordodes sp. VVA-2019. RNAcentral's name for it is "tRNA-Cys". Lineage: Eukaryota; Metazoa; Nematomorpha; Gordioida; Chordodea; Chordodidae. The record is from RNAcentral.